GGGCCUCCAGCUCACGCUGGUCAGAGCAGUGGACUCUUAAUCCGUAGAUCGAGUGUUCGAGUCACUCACGCCCCACCA
This 78-nucleotide transfer RNA is filed under the name Burkholderia ubonensis. Its description in RNAcentral is "tRNA-Lys". It matches the Rfam family "tRNA". Rfam says of the family: Transfer RNA (tRNA) molecules are approximately 80 nucleotides in length. Their secondary structure includes four short double-helical elements and three loops (D, anti-codon, and T loops). The record is from RNAcentral. Lineage: Bacteria; Pseudomonadati; Pseudomonadota; Betaproteobacteria; Burkholderiales; Burkholderiaceae.